AUUGAACGCUGGCGGCAGGCUUAACACAUGCAAGUCGAGCGAGCGGCGGACGGGUGAGUAAUGUCUGGGAAACUGCCUGAUGGAGGGGGAUAACUACUGGAAACGGUAGCUAAUACCGCAUACCAUCAGAUGUGCCCAGCUGGGAUUAGCUAGUAGGUGGGGUAAUGGCUCACCUAGGCGACGAUCCCUACCUGGUCUGAGAGGAUGACAUGCAAAACUGGAAUGGAGACACGGUCCAGACUCCUACGGGAGGCAGGAGUGGGAAGUAUUGCAAAGUGGGCGCAAGGCUGAUGUAGCCAUGCCGCGUCUGUGAAGAAGACCUUCGGGUUGUAGAGCACGUUCAGCGAGGCGGCGUUACUUGAAGAAGAAGCACCGGCUAACUCCGUGCCAGCAGCCGCGGUAAUAC
RNAcentral lists this ribosomal RNA (406 nucleotides) under uncultured bacterium. RNAcentral describes it as "partial 16S ribosomal RNA". It matches the Rfam family "Bacterial small subunit ribosomal RNA", at positions 30 to 526 of the family's 1533-position model. The record is from RNAcentral.